GUUUCAUAUCAAUAAGCGGAGGAAAAGAAACUAACAAGGAUUCCCCUAGUAACGGCGAGUGAAGUGGGAAAAGCUCAACUUUGAAAUCUGGCACCUUCGGUGUCCGAGUUGUAGUCUCAAGAAGUGUUUUCUGUGCUGGUCCAUGUAUGAGUCUGUUGGAACACAGCGUCAUAGAGGGUGACAACCCCGUUCAUGACAUGGAUACCAGUGCUUUGUGAUACACUCUCGAAGAGUCGAGUUGUUUGGGAAUGCAGCUCAAAUUGGGUGGUAAAUUCCAUCUAAAGCUAAAUAUUGGCGAGAGACCGAUAGCAAACAAGUACCGUGAGGGAAAGAUGAAAAGCACUUUGGAAAGAGAGUUAACAGUACGUGAAAUUGUUGAAAGGGAAACGAUUGAAGUCAGACGUGCGUGAUGCGGUUCAGCACUGGUUCGCCAGUGUGUAUUCCGUAUCUUUGCAGGCCAACAUCAGUUUCGGUAGUCGGAUAAAGGUUAGUUGAAUGUGGCACCUUCGGGUGUGUUAUAGCUUCUAACUGAAUACGAUUUCUGGGACUGAGGAACGCAGCGCGCCGCAAGGCAAAGGUUCCGACCUUUUCCCGCUUAGGAUGUUGGUGAAAUGGCUUUAAACGACCCGUCUUGAAACACG
Molecule: ribosomal RNA, 641 nt
Filed under: Cystobasidium slooffiae
Lineage: Eukaryota; Fungi; Basidiomycota; Cystobasidiomycetes; Cystobasidiales; Cystobasidiaceae
Description: partial large subunit ribosomal RNA
Rfam family: Eukaryotic large subunit ribosomal RNA
Source: RNAcentral